UGGGAGAUCGGCUAAUGGCAGGCCGACGGGCUCUGGACCCGUUAGUGGGGGUUCGAAUCCCUCUCUCCCAGCCA
RNAcentral lists this transfer RNA (74 nucleotides) under Pseudomonadota bacterium. RNAcentral's name for it is "tRNA-Gln". It matches the Rfam family "tRNA". From Rfam's summary of the family: Transfer RNA (tRNA) molecules are approximately 80 nucleotides in length. Lineage: Bacteria; Pseudomonadati; Pseudomonadota. RNAcentral also lists the same sequence under 2 other names. The record is from RNAcentral.